GGGCGCAAGCCUGAUCUAGCCAUGCCGCGUGUGUGAUGAAGGUCUUAGGAUCGUAAAGCACUUUCGCCAGGGAUGAUAAUGACAGUACCUGGUAAAGAAACCCCGGCUAACUCCGUGCCAGCAGCCGCGGUAAUACGGAGGGGGUUAGCGUUGUUCGGAAUUACUGGGCGUAAAGCGUACGUAGGCGGAUCAGAAAGUUAGGGGUGAAAUCCCGAGGCUCAACCUCGGAACUGCCUCUAAAACUCCUGGUCUUGAGUUCGAGAGAGGUGAGUGGAAUUCCAAGUGUAGAGGUGAAAUUCGUAGAUAUUUGGAGGAACACCAGUGGCGAAGGCGGCUCACUGGCUCGAUACUGACGCUGAGGUACGAAAGUGUGGGGAGCAAACAGGAUUAGAUACCCUGGUAGUCCACACCGUAAACGAUGAAUGCCAGUCGUCGGGCAGUAUACUGUUCGGUGACACACCUAACGGAUUAAGCAUUCCGCCUGGGGAGUACGGUCGCAAGAUU
RNAcentral lists this ribosomal RNA (504 nucleotides) under Rhodobacteraceae bacterium ACEMC 19-6. Its description in RNAcentral is "bacterial SSU rRNA". It matches the Rfam family "Bacterial small subunit ribosomal RNA", at positions 373 to 895 of the family's 1533-position model. Lineage: Bacteria; Pseudomonadati; Pseudomonadota; Alphaproteobacteria; Rhodobacterales; Paracoccaceae. The record is from RNAcentral.